Molecule: ribosomal RNA, 370 nt
Filed under: uncultured organism
Description: bacterial SSU rRNA
Rfam family: Bacterial small subunit ribosomal RNA
Source: RNAcentral
CGUAGGGUGCAAGCGUUAAUCGGAAUUACUGGGCGUAAAGCGUGCGCAGGUGGUGAUGUAAGACAGGUGUGAAAUCCCCGGGCUUAACCUGGGAACUGCAUUUGUGACUGCAUCGCUGGAGUGCGGCAGAGGGGGAUGGAAUUCCGCGUGUAGUAGUGAAAUGCGUAGAUAUGCGGAGGAACACCGAUGGCGAAGGCAAUCCCCUGGGCCUGCACUGACGCUCAUGCACGAAAGCGUGGGGAGCAAACAGGAUUAGAUACCCUGGUAGUCCACGCCCUAAACGAUGUCAACUGGUUGUUGGUCCUUCACUGGAUCAGUAACGAAGCUAACGCGUGAAGUUGACCGCCUGGGGAGUACGGCCGCAAGGUUG